This 442-nucleotide ribosomal RNA is filed under the name uncultured bacterium. Its description in RNAcentral is "partial 16S ribosomal RNA". It matches the Rfam family "Bacterial small subunit ribosomal RNA", at positions 338 to 795 of the family's 1533-position model. The record is from RNAcentral.
CCUACGGGAGGCAGCAGUGGGGGAUAUUGCACAAUGGGGGAAACCCUGAUGCAGCGACGCCGCGUGGGGGAAGAAGUAUUUCGGUAUGUAAAGCCCUAUCAGCAGGGAAGAAGAUAAGACGGUAUAUGAGUAAGACACACCCGCUAAAUACGUGCCAGUAGCCGGGGAAAUACGUAGGGUGCAAGCGUUAGCCGGAUUUACGGGGUGGAAAGGGAGCGCAGGCGGCACGGCAAGUCUGAUGUGAAAGCCCGGGGCCCAACCGCGGGACUGCCGUGGAAACUACAGGGCUGGAGUGCAGGAGAGGUAGGUGGAAUUCCUGGUGUAGCGGUGAAAUGCGUAGAUAUUAGGAGGAACACCCGUGGCGAAGGCGGCCUACUGGACGGUGACUGACGCUGAGGCUCGAAAGCGUGGGGAGCAAACAGGAUUAGAUACCCUGGUAGUC